This 541-nucleotide ribosomal RNA is filed under the name Sarea difformis. RNAcentral describes it as "eukaryotic LSU rRNA". The stretch from base 239 to 392 matches the Rfam family "5.8S ribosomal RNA". The record is from RNAcentral. Lineage: Eukaryota; Fungi; Ascomycota; Sareomycetes; Sareales; Zythiaceae.
UUCUUGGUCAUUUAGAGGAAGUAAAAGUCGUAACAAGGUUUCCGUAGGUGAACCUGCGGAAGGAUCAUUACCGAGUAAGGGUCUCUCAGGCCCGAUCUCCCACCCUAUGUGUACCUACCUUUGUUGCUUUGGCGGGCCCGCUGGGGCAACCCACCGUCGGCUUCGGCUGGCGAGCGCCCGCCAGAGACCAUCCAAACUCUGUUUAUCAGUGUCGUCUGAGAAAAAACACAAUAGUUAAAACUUUCAACAACGGAUCUCUUGGUUCUGGCAUCGAUGAAGAACGCAGCGAAAUGCGAUAAGUAAUGUGAAUUGCAGAAUUCAGUGAAUCAUCGAAUCUUUGAACGCACAUUGCGCCCCCUGGUAUUCCGGGGGGCAUGCCUGUUCGAGCGUCAUUACACCACUCAAGCUCAGCUUGGUAUUGGGCCCUCGUCCCGCGGGACGUGCCUGAAAAUCAGUGGCGGUGCUGCCUGACUUCAAGCGUAGUAAUUUCUACCCUCGCUUUGGAAGCUCGGGACGUGUGCCUGCCAUACAACCCCCAUCU